RNAcentral lists this long non-coding RNA (1220 nucleotides) under Strigops habroptila (Kakapo). RNAcentral describes it as "lncRNA (ENSSHBG00005014493.1)". Lineage: Eukaryota; Metazoa; Chordata; Aves; Psittaciformes; Psittacidae. The record is from RNAcentral.
GCAUUAGAAGAGGAUCCACACUCUCAAUGUAUUGUUGCUGAGAGAACUGAAAUGGCUAAGCCAAGAAGUCCUGACACCUACCAAUCAUGGAAGAACAGUGCCUUCAUCUGCCGAAAGCUUUGCGUGAAGUACUAUUAUGGGGUACAUAGGAUCCAGAGCAAACGUAGUGGGGCUGAAAGAGUGCCUGGUUAUGGGGGAAGCCCUGCUGAGAUCUUCUGGCCCAAGAUACACGUUCCAAGAUAUCCGCUGAUCCUAACCAUGGGUGACAGUAAAUUGUGAACUGAGGUUCCCGAAAGAAGAAUUGCUUUGCCCCAUGCCACAGUUCCUCCAUCCCCCGCUGUGUCAUAGCAGCUGAACAGAAACUGGGUGAUUUGAGCUCAGCUCUUGCUCGCUGACAGGACUGCAGGAACCAGGGUACCGAAAUGUGGGAUAAAACACCGGACAUGAAGCGCUACUGCAGUCUGCCUCUUCCCUUCUCCGACGGCAGGACACAGCCUAUCUGCCUCUUCUCCAAAAUCCUCAUGGUCAACUCAGACUGCACACUGUGCCCGUCACUGUGCCCAUGCUCUGCUCCUGCCACAAAGUAGAGGUCUCCUGGCUUCCUGGAGCUGCUUCCAGCUGACCAGCCCCACUCUCCUGGUAGCACUGAUGCCUAUAAAAACCAGACCAUGUGUAAUACCUUCAUGUGAGUGGGUAUGGCUGUGCCUUUGGUGCACAGCAGAGGGUCGCUCCUACUAUUGCUUCCCAAACUGCUCUUUCACUGCCCUUAGCCUUCCCCUUCGUUCGCCCGUAGCUUCCAGAGGGCUCACGACAGCACUGUUCCUUGUCAAAGGAGUUUCAAGGCUGAAUAUCCAAGCAUGGUAAAUGACAGGUUGUCUGACUUCUUCCGCUGAGGAAACUACUCAUUUGAAACAUUCCAAAUGCACUUAGAGAGGAUAUUUCUUAGGCACGUCUUAAACCGUCUGACCAGUUCUUGUAUUUCACUAGGCUGUGCUUUCUACAUAUACUGGACAUACUCUCAUACUUUUGUCUAUUCCUUAAUACACUUGGCCCUCUUAUAAGACUAAUUGCUAUUUUACAAUUUCAUUUCAAUGGACAGAGAGAUCUAAGGUCUCUUAAGACCUGAGCGCUAAGGUUUAGAGUACCAUGUUUUCUAGCAUGCUGCUACUUGCUGACUGAUUUCCAAAAUACUAACACGUUUCAUUAAACAUGUUUUCACA